UGGGGAAUAUUGCACAAUGGAGGGAACUCUGAUGCAGCGACGCCGCGUGAACGAAGAAGGCUUUCGAGUCGUAAAGUUCUUUUAUAUGGGAAGAUAAUGACGGUACCAUAAGAAAAAGCCACGGCUAACUACGUGCCAGCAGCCGCGGUAAUACGUAGGUGGCAAGCGUUGUCCGGAAUUAUUGGGCGUAAAGCGCGCGCAGGUGGUUUAGAAAGUCUGAUGUGAAAGCCCACGGCUCAACCGUGGAGGGUCAUUGGAAACUAAUAAACUUGAGUGCAGGAGGGGAAAGUGGAAUUCCUAGUGUAGCGGUGAAAUGCGUAGAGAUUAGGAGGAACACCGGUGGCGAAAGCGGCUUUUUGGCCUGCAACUGACACUGAGGCGCGAAAGCGUGGGGAGCAAACAGG
Molecule: ribosomal RNA, 404 nt
Filed under: Verrucomicrobiota bacterium
Lineage: Bacteria; Pseudomonadati; Verrucomicrobiota
Description: Verrucomicrobia bacterium partial 16S ribosomal RNA
Rfam family: Bacterial small subunit ribosomal RNA
Source: RNAcentral